GCCCAGAAACUGGCACAAGAAGCAAGGGAAAGUUCCCACUUUCACAUAGAAAAUCAUAGAGGUUAGGGUCACAAGUCAAUGGGUUAAAGGGAGGGAACAGGUAAAAGGUAAAGAAAAAUCAACACUGUGGAACAAUACAUUUAGGAC
Long non-coding RNA from Gavialis gangeticus (Gharial), 147 nucleotides. RefSeq lists it as uncharacterized. The transcript has 3 exons. NCBI's taxonomy places the organism in Eukaryota, Metazoa, Chordata, Crocodylia, Gavialidae. The record is from RefSeq and is a predicted model, not a curated record.